CGCACUCAGGAGGGUCCGCACAGCUCCGCUCCCUCGCAGGUGGCUCCCGGUGUGGGGAUGGAAAUUAAUGAAGUGCGGCGGGCAGGGUGAGGUUUGUGCUUUCCCCCUGUCUCUGACUGGGCCCGUGACCCUCGGCUGUGAAGAUGUAUGAGGAAGAAUUUUCAAAUGAUGGAAAAUCCUUCCUCACUUACAGCCUCUACAACUUCUGAAGAGGUAUUGAUACUCUUAAAAACUGAGAAGUCUAGCUGCACACAACAGCCAGGAAAAGGGCAUCAAUCCAUUAAAUGAUAAGAGAAAUGAGUCGUGUGUUGUAGGCAGUGAAGUCUCAGCUCAGAGGACGUGAGUGCUCAUUCUGCACCUGCGCCAGAGAUCACCUGUGUUGCUCUGUGUCUCUGUCUCUACCUGAGCACCCUGCUCACCAUUCUCCUCCCACAGCCCGCCCCGUUCCUUUGUCUCCUCGGAGCCACCAACAAUGGGAUCUGCAGGAGUUGGGAAGCCUGGGCCAGAUGGAGCGAACUGCCAGUG
Zonotrichia albicollis (white-throated sparrow) is the source of this 525-nucleotide non-coding RNA. The record is from RefSeq and is a predicted model, not a curated record. Lineage: Eukaryota; Metazoa; Chordata; Aves; Passeriformes; Passerellidae.